AAGAUCGCGAUAUGGCUCAAGGACUGCCGAACUCGUACCCUUUAUUGGAAGUGUCAUAGACCCUUCUGAAAUAUGAUGACAUAUAUGGAAUAACUUCUCUUUAAAGAUGCACAGAGGCAAAUACACUGCUUGAAAUCCUUGGACCCCAGAUUUACAAUCUAGCUGUAAAUCAAUCUCCCCGUUUUCAGAUAAGCCUUAGAUAUUAGUUACUUCACUCAAAGUAUGGAUCAAGAAAUUGUAUUAAUGUGCUACUGGUUCAUUUAAUUGUU
This 269-nucleotide small RNA is filed under the name Pongo abelii (Sumatran orangutan). RNAcentral's name for it is "processed transcript". Lineage: Eukaryota; Metazoa; Chordata; Mammalia; Primates; Hominidae. The record is from RNAcentral.